Molecule: ribosomal RNA, 253 nt
Filed under: uncultured bacterium
Lineage: Bacteria
Description: partial 16S ribosomal RNA
Rfam family: Bacterial small subunit ribosomal RNA
Source: RNAcentral
UACGGAGGAUGCAAGCGUUAUCCGGAAUGAUUGGGCGUAAAGCGUCCGCAGGUGGCGAUGUAAGUCUGCUGUUAAAGAGUGAGGCUCAACCUCAUAAGAGCAGUGGAAACUACAUAGCUAGAGUACGUUCGGGGCAGAGGGAAUUCCUGGUGUAGCGGUGAAAUGCGUAGAGAUCAGGAAGAACACCAGUGGCGAAGGCGCUCUGCUAGGCCGUAACUGACACUGAGGGACGAAAGCUAGGGGAGCGAAUGGG